Molecule: ribosomal RNA, 601 nt
Filed under: uncultured bacterium
Lineage: Bacteria
Description: bacterial SSU rRNA
Rfam family: Bacterial small subunit ribosomal RNA (bases 1-521)
Source: RNAcentral
CCUAUGGGAGGCAGCAGUGGGGAAUCUUGCGCAAUGGGCGAAAGCCUGACGCAGCAACGCCGCGUGGGGGAUGAAGGCUCUCGGGUUGUAAACCCCUUUCAGCAGGGACGAAUCAAGACGGUACCUGCAGAAGAAGCCCCGGCUAACUACGUGCCAGCAGCCGCGGUAACACGUAGGGGGCAAGCGUUGUCCGGAUUUAUUGGGCGUAAAGAGCUCGUAGGCGGCUGAGUAAGUCGGGUGUUAAAUCCCCAGGCUCAACCUGGGACACCACCCGAUACUGCUCUGGCUAGAGUCCGGUAGGGGAGCGUGGAAUUCCUGGUGUAGCGGUGAAAUGCGCAGAUAUCAGGAGGAACACCAGCGGCGAAGGCGGCGCUCUGGGCCGGAACUGACGCUGAGGAGCGAAAGCGUGGGUAGCAAACAGGAUUAGAUACCCUGGUAGUCCACGCCGUAAACGUUGGGCACUAGGUGUGGGGUCUAUUCAACGGACUCCGUGCCGUAGCUAACGCAUUAAGUGCCCCGCCUGGGGAGGUACGGCCGCGAGACGUAAACUAAAGUAGAGUAGACGGCGUGAGAGUUGCGACGACGACGACGAGGGAGGAGG